Molecule: long non-coding RNA, 1262 nt
Filed under: Bos mutus (wild yak)
Lineage: Eukaryota; Metazoa; Chordata; Mammalia; Artiodactyla; Bovidae
Description: lncRNA (ENSBMUG00000016742.1)
Source: RNAcentral
AUCAUGUAUGGAUGUGAGAGUUGGACUAUAAAGAAAGCUGAGCACUGAAGAAUUGAUGCUUUUGAACUGUGGUGUUGGAGAAGACUCUUGAGAAUCACUUGGACGGCAAGGAGAUCCAACGAGUCCAUCCUAAAGGAAAUCAGUCCUGAAUAUUCAUUGGAAGGACUGAUGCUGAAGCUGAAACUCUCAAUAAUUUGGCCACCUGAUGCAAAGAACUGACUCAUUUGAAAAGACCCUGAUGCUGGGAAAGAUUGAGGGUGAGAGGAAAAGGGGACAACAGAGAAUGAGAUGGUUGGAUGGCAUCACUGACUUGAUGGACAUGAGUUUGAGUAAACUCCAGGAGUUGGUGAUAGACAGGGAGGCCUGGUGUGCUGCAGUCCAUGGGAUUGCAAAAAGUUGGAGAUGACUGAGCGACUGAACUGAACUGAACUGGACUGAUUUUCUGGUAUUAACUAUUGGUAUGGAAGGUGUAAAGUCAAAUAUGCUGAAUGGCUCUCCAUCAACAAAUUAAAGAGGCAAAUAUAAAAUCCAGAUUUUUCAGAUUCUGAAAGCACAAGAAAGUUACCUGGAUCAGAGAAAACAGAUCCAGUUUUAUGGAGAGAAAAGGUAACUGUGAAAUGGUCUUCAUAUUCCCCAUGAAGAAUAUACAGCAAUGCUUGAUGGAGUCGAUGGUGGCUCGUACCACACUCCAGUCAGCUCUACAGCUUGUGGAAGAGUCUAAGACUAAAGAUGUCUGGGGGACCUUCUUGGCAAAGAAAAAGCACUGCAUCUGGACUGAGGUAAAAAGUUGCAUGGCUCAUGUGACUUGUUUAUUCUUGGACCAUCUCUUAGCUUUCCUGUUUGUCUGGUAUCUUACACACACUCAAGAUUGGAUCUCCAAAUGCGCCCUGUGAAGACACCAUUCUCACCACAAUCGGACAGAAGUCCACAGCUUUCUCUGUGAAUCCAUUGUCAUUGGAGGGACUUUGGACGUUGCUUCCAGAACCACAUAACAGUUAUGUCAGGACUGCCACUACUAUUUCAGCAGAGGGAGUUCAUCAGCCCCUUGUUUUCCUUGCUUUACUUGUCUCAAUGUUGAAGUCCGUACUGAGAACAUCUGUUUGACUACUCAUUUCAUACAUCUACACUUCAACUGCAUAGGAGUUUACAAAAGUAUCCAGCAUUUUAGACCUCAGUCAUGGGAGAUAUUCUUUGUCUAAAUAGAUGGAGAAUUCUUUUAGACACAGCAAAAUGUAUGGGCUCCAGAUGAUUAAAAUAUGGCC